Molecule: long non-coding RNA, 1292 nt
Organism: Gallus gallus (chicken)
Lineage: Eukaryota; Metazoa; Chordata; Aves; Galliformes; Phasianidae
Source: Ensembl
AUUGGUUUGCAUUUCUUCCACCAGACUCAUUUCCUUCUUUCCCAGCAGUUAGUUCUGUCAUUCCUUGAAGUCCAAUGUUCCAACACGUGAGAAUAGGUGCAAUAAGGGUACACUAUUUUCUUUGUUUGUCAAUUUGCUUUAAACGAGAUGUAUUAUUGCCUUCCUCAUGCAGAGGAAUUCACUUUGACUUCAUUAUCAAACUCCCUCCAUGCUCAUGGCAUUAUGUGCACCAUUUCCCAGGUGUGUGGAGCAUACUGUCGCUCUUUUCCUCCAAGACUUGAAGGAGGAUUUGGAAGAAAAGGCUUCUUUUGUGCCAUUUGACUACAAUUUAUACAGUGUCUCAGCUGAAGACCAUCACUGUCUUGAGAACUUUGAGGACCAUUCAAGACUACCAUGGAACUGGAUGUUCAUGCCGGACAGACACCCAGCACCAACCAGAUCACUGCACUGGGCGGCAAAGGUGCCAACAGGGUUAAUUUUUGGAGGUGACAAAAGGCCUGAAGCCAAAACUGUCAGUGAGAUGACUGCUUCCAAGGCAGCCAUGGCACCUUGUCAUCUGGACCCCAACCACCACAUUGAGCAGCAAAGCAAAUACUGCUUAAGGGAUCCCUCCCUGUUCAUCGAGCAAAUUCUUGUCAGCUGCUGAGCAAAACCAGAAAGGUAUAAUGAUGCUAGAGGUGCCACAAGCUCUCUCCCCGUCUGCAUGAGGGAAUCUUGCCUUUAAAUCCAGCCUUGCACCAGUGAGUUCCCUGCCUGAUAUUGCUAGACGCUGCUCCUUAAUGAGACCAAUGAGUAUGUUUUAUGUGGUAAUCUGCUGGCUCUGGCAAUUGUACAGACAUCAAGACUACAAAAGAGUCACUUCAAUGAAAUGAGAUGCCAGUGAGAAAGCCACUCUGCCACAGGGACGAAGACUUUGCAAAUAAACACUUCUGGGGAACUCUCUCUCCUUAAAUAAAACACUUAUAGAGCACUCAGAUGUUGGUUUAGCACUUAAUGACUGUGGGAGAAAAUAAAACAUGAAGAGCUGCAUUUGGUUUGGUGCUUUUUUUCUCUUCUUGAUCUCAUAUAUUUGAUAUGUACGGAGUAUAGGAAAUCCAUAUAUAUAUGUAUGUAUGUACGUGUGCCAAGAUAUUUAUUGGCCCAUGGGGGAUGGAGGUAGAGAGGUGACCCUGCCAAAAGUGUGUUCUGCAUCUCCAGGAGACACAGCAAGUGGCAAUAAGCCUUUCUUACCUCCAUUAUUUCCAAUCUGGUUCCUUAAUGGGGAAUAAAACCCCCCAAGUCUUUGUGAUGAG